This is a long non-coding RNA of Sander lucioperca (pikeperch), 538 nucleotides long. RefSeq lists it as uncharacterized. The transcript is spliced from 2 exons. NCBI's taxonomy places the organism in Eukaryota, Metazoa, Chordata, Actinopteri, Perciformes, Percidae. The record is from RefSeq and is a predicted model, not a curated record.
UAUUUUACCGCAGUCCCACUCUUUUUUUAUUUACUAUUUUCUCGCAGAGUGCAGCGUGCAGGUUAAUGAUGACGUGAUUAUCUUUUGACUCCCUGGCCCCGCCCCCGACACGGCACCUUGCAAGUUGCUCAAAAUAAAAAAAGUCAGAUAAAAAUGGAUAACAGGAAGCGCAAAGGCGGCGCUGAAAAGGCCAGAAUGAAAAAGAAGAAAGCUUUGGAAACUGACGCGGCCAAAUGUUCUAAGCUGAGCACAUUUUUCCUCAAAAAAAACAAAUGAAGACGACGAGGCCGCUCUUCAGCAGCAGCCGCCUCUAGUCCGGUUUGCUGCUAACAGUGAAGAGCAAGGCCCAGUAACGUUACCAAGCUCCAGUCAUGAGCCCAACACACCAGAAUGGGCAGGUAGGAUUGUCAUUCAGAAGAACUAAUAGUAAUGAAGAGCCCUGCUCAAUGAAAAAUGCCCUGAGAUAAUUAAUGAUACCUGAUGAUUCAGCAAUACAUUAAUGAAACUGACUUGACUUGAUUUGAAAGCUUUGUAAAAA